GUAAUGGCCUACCAAGGCGACGACGGGUAGCCGACCUGAGAGGGUGACCGGCCCACUGGGACUGAGACACGGCCCAGACUCCUACGGGAGGCAGCAGUGGGGAAUAUUGCACAAUGGGCGGAAGCCUGAUGCAGCGACGCCGCGUGAGGGAUGAAGGCCUUCGGGUUGUAAACCUCUUUCAGCAGGGACGAAGCGUGAGUGACGGUACCUGCAGAAGAAGCACCGGCUAACUACGUGCCAGCAGCCGCGGUAAUACGUAGGGUGCGAGCGUUGUCCGGAAUUACUGGGCGUAAAGAGUUCGUAGGCGGUCUGUCGCGUCGUUUGUGAAAACCCGGGGCUCAACUUCGGGCUUGCAGGCGAUACGGGCAGACUUGAGUACUGCAGGGGAGACUGGAAUUCCUGGUGUAGCGGUGAAAUGCGCAGAUAUCAGGAGGAACACCGGUGGCGAAGGCGGGUCUCUGGGCAGUAACUGACGCUGAGGAACGAAAGCGUGGGUAGCGAACAGGAUUAGAUACCCUGGUAGUCCACGCCGUAAACGGUGGGCGCUAGG
Molecule: ribosomal RNA, 550 nt
Filed under: uncultured Actinomycetes bacterium
Lineage: Bacteria; Bacillati; Actinomycetota; Actinomycetes
Description: bacterial SSU rRNA
Rfam family: Bacterial small subunit ribosomal RNA
Source: RNAcentral